Molecule: unclassified non-coding RNA, 335 nt
Filed under: soil metagenome
Description: partial contains 5.8S ribosomal RNA, internal transcribed spacer 2, and large subunit ribosomal RNA
Rfam family: 5.8S ribosomal RNA (bases 1-120)
Source: RNAcentral
GAUGAAGAACGCAGCGAAAUGCGAUAAGUAAUGUGAAUUGCAGAAUUCAGUGAAUCAUCGAAUCUUUGAACGCACAUUGCGCCCGCCAGUAUUCUGGCGGGCAUGCCUGUUCGAGCGUCAUUUCAACCAUCAAGCCCCCGGCUUGUGUUGGGGACCUGCGGCUGCCGCAGGCCCUGAAAACCAGUGGCGGGCUCGCUAGUCACUCCGAGCGUAGUAAUACAUCUCGCUCAGGGCGUGCUGCGGGUUCCGGCCGUUAAAAAGCCUUAUUUACCCAAGGUUGACCUCGGAUCAGGUAGGAAGACCCGCUGAACUUAAGCAUCUCAAUAAGCGGAGGA